AGAGUUUGAUCAUGGCUCAGAUUGAACGCUGGCGGCAGGCCUAACACAUGCAAGUCGAGCGGAAACGAGUUAUCAGAACCUUCGGGGAACGAUAACGGCGUCGAGCGGCGGACGGGUGAGUAAUGCCUAGGAAAUUGCCCUGAUGUGGGGGAUAACCAUUGGAAACGAUGGCUAAUACCGCAUGAUGCCUACGGGCCAAAGAGGGGGACCUUCGGGCCUCUCGCGUCAGGAUAUGCCUAGGUGGGAUUAGCUAGUUGGUGAGGUAAGGGCUCACCAAGGCGACGAUCCCUAGCUGGUCUGAGAGGAUGAUCAGCCACACUGGAACUGAGACACGGUCCAGACUCCUACGGGAGGCAGCAGUGGGGAAUAUUGCACAAUGGGCGCAAGCCUGAUGCAGCCAUGCCGCGUGUGUGAAGAAGGCCUUCGGGUUGUAAAGCACUUUCAGUCGUGAGGAAGGUAGUGUAGUUAAUAGCUGCAUUAUUUGACGUUAGCGACAGAAGAAGCACCGGCUAACUCCGUGCCAGCAGCCGCGGUAAUACGGAGGGUGCGAGCGUUAAUCGGAAUUACUGGGCGUAAAGCGCAUGCAGGUGGUUUGUUAAGUCAGAUGUGAAAGCCCGGGGCUCAACCUCGGAAUUGCAUUUGAAACUGGCAGACUAGAGUACUGUAGAGGGGGGUAGAAUUUCAGGUGUAGCGGUGAAAUGCGUAGAGAUCUGAAGGAAUACCGGUGGCGAAGGCGGCCCCCUGGACAGAUACUGACACUCAGAUGCGAAAGCGUGGGGAGCAAACAGGAUUAGAUACCCUGGUAGUCCACGCCGUAAACGAUGUCUACUUGGAGGUUGUGGCCUUGAGCCGUGGCUUUCGGAGCUAACGCGUUAAGUAGACCGCCUGGGGAGUACGGUCGCAAGAUUAAAACUCAAAUGAAUUGACGGGGGCCCGCACAAGCGGUGGAGCAUGU
This 955-nucleotide ribosomal RNA is filed under the name Vibrio parahaemolyticus. RNAcentral's name for it is "bacterial SSU rRNA". It matches the Rfam family "Bacterial small subunit ribosomal RNA", at positions 8 to 942 of the family's 1533-position model. Lineage: Bacteria; Pseudomonadati; Pseudomonadota; Gammaproteobacteria; Vibrionales; Vibrionaceae. The record is from RNAcentral.